Long non-coding RNA from Haliotis rufescens (red abalone), 225 nucleotides. RefSeq lists it as uncharacterized. The transcript has 3 exons. Lineage: Eukaryota; Metazoa; Mollusca; Gastropoda; Lepetellida; Haliotidae. The record is from RefSeq and is a predicted model, not a curated record.
GCUAUGAAAAAGGGAGCCGCCGCCAUGUUUGCUUCUCGUCUACACCAGGCCACUGAGGACCAUGUCCAUGCAACUGACGACGGCUGGGGCUAUCACGUGAGAGAGACUGGAAGUGAGGGUCCCCACAACGCCACCUACACUGUGCGGCCGACUCUCACAGGUCACGUGUUCACCAAGACACGGCACCCGGGCCACCACCCCGUCAAGCAUGCGACGUCAGAUUAU